CCUACGGGAGGCAGCAGUGGGGGAUAUUGCACAAUGGGGGAAACCCUGAUGCAGCGACGCCGCGUGUGGGAAGACGGUCCUCUGGAUUGUAAACCACUGUCCCCAGGGACGAAGAUGACGGUACCUGGGGAGGAAGCUCCGGCUAACUACGUAACGGCAGCCUCGGUAAUACGUAGGUAGCGCGCGUUGUCCGGAAUUACGGGGUGUAAAGGGAGCGUAGGCGGGACUGCAAGGUGGGGGUAAAAUCUACCGGCUCAACCGGUAGCCGCACUCAAAACUGCAGGUCUUGAGUGAAGUAGAGGCAGGCGGAAUUCCUAGGGUAGCGGUGAAAUGCGUAGAUAUUAGGAGGAACACC
This 355-nucleotide ribosomal RNA is filed under the name uncultured bacterium. RNAcentral's name for it is "partial 16S ribosomal RNA". It matches the Rfam family "Bacterial small subunit ribosomal RNA", at positions 338 to 710 of the family's 1533-position model. The record is from RNAcentral.